RNAcentral lists this unclassified non-coding RNA (447 nucleotides) under Hevea brasiliensis (rubber tree). Lineage: Eukaryota; Viridiplantae; Streptophyta; Magnoliopsida; Malpighiales; Euphorbiaceae. The record is from RNAcentral.
GUGGGUGACUUGGAGACGAGGCUGGCUAAAAUCGAGCUUCACUUGGUCAAUGAGGAGCUGAGGUUUGAAGAGAUGGAUAACCGGUUGUUGGAGCUUGCUGAAGGGUUGGAUGACACCCGUGUGGAGAUGCAGGCUGCCCUCAACGAAGCUCUUGGAAAGUUGGCAAGUGAAAACGAGGUUUUGAAGAUAGCUCACGCUGAAGAGGUGUCCACAUUGAGAGAAGAAAACCGUGCGCUCAAAGAAGAGGUGGAAAGGGUGAAUGGAGAAGUGAGAGAUGUGAAGGACGAACUUGUGCUGUUAAAGAGGUUGGUGGCUCAAAACGUUGGGACCAACCCUGCUCUCACCAUCCCUACGGCGAGGGUGGAUGUACCCAAACCAGGCGCUUAUCUUGGUGCAAGGAGUGCUAGGGACAUUGACAACUUUUUGUGGUCACUGGAGCAAUAUUUU